CCUACGGGCGGCAGCAGUGGGGAAUAUUGCGCAAUGGGCGAAAGCCUGACGCAGCGACGCCGCGUGAGGGAUGAAGGUCUUAGGAUCGUAAACCUCUGUCAGCAGGGAAGAACGGUCACUGUGCUAAUCAGCAGUGAAUUGACGGUACCUGCAAAGGAAGCACCGGCUAACUCCGUGCCAGCAGCCGCGGUAAUACGGAGGGUGCGAGCGUUAAUCGGAUUUACUGGGAGUAAAGCGCGCGUAGGCGGUAUGUCAAGUCAAGGGUGAAAUCCCCGCGCUCAACGUGGGAACUGCCUCUGAAACUGGCAAACUAGAGUGUGGUAGAGGAUAGUGGAAUUCAAGGUGUAGGAGUGAAAUCCGUAGAGAUCUGGAAGAACAUCGGUGGCGAAGGCGACUAUCUGGCACAUAACUGACGCUGAGGAGCGAAAGCGUGGGUAGCAAACAGGAUUAGAUACCCCUGUAGUC
This 465-nucleotide ribosomal RNA is filed under the name uncultured bacterium. Its description in RNAcentral is "partial 16S ribosomal RNA". It matches the Rfam family "Bacterial small subunit ribosomal RNA", at positions 338 to 795 of the family's 1533-position model. The record is from RNAcentral.